This 483-nucleotide ribosomal RNA is filed under the name Salmonella enterica. RNAcentral describes it as "partial 23S ribosomal RNA". It matches the Rfam family "Bacterial large subunit ribosomal RNA", at positions 1273 to 1756 of the family's 2925-position model. RNAcentral also lists the same sequence under 3 other names. The record is from RNAcentral. Lineage: Bacteria; Pseudomonadati; Pseudomonadota; Gammaproteobacteria; Enterobacterales; Enterobacteriaceae.
CUGGAGGUAUCAGAAGUGCGAAUGCUGACAUAAGUAACGAUAAAGCGGGUGAAAAGCCCGCUCGCCGGAAGACCAAGGGUUCCUGUCCAACGUUAAUCGGGGCAGGGUGAGUCGACCCCUAAGGCGAGGCCGAAAGGCGUAGUCGAUGGGAAACGGGUUAAUAUUCCCGUACUUGGUGUUACUGCGAAGGGGGGACGGAGAAGGCUAUGUUGGCCGGGCGACGGUUGUCCCGGUUUAAGCGUGUAGGUGUGUGUUCCAGGUAAAUCCGGUUCACUUUAACACUGAGGCGUGACGACGAGGCACUACGGUGCUGAAGCAACAAAUGCCCUGCUUCCAGGAAAAGCCUCUAAGCAUCAGGUAACAUCAAAUCGUACCCCAAACCGACACAGGUGGUCAGGUAGAGAAUACCAAGGCGCUUGAGAGAACUCGGGUGAAGGAACUAGGCAAAAUGGUGCCGUAACUUCGGGAGAAGGCACGCUGACA